Molecule: non-coding RNA, 426 nt
Organism: Hyaena hyaena (striped hyena)
Lineage: Eukaryota; Metazoa; Chordata; Mammalia; Carnivora; Hyaenidae
Source: the annotation of a RefSeq genome assembly
CUGGGUCUCCAUCCAGAAGACAGACAUGCAGAUGCUGUGGUCCCUCCUCUGCCUGCUGGCAGCUCCCCUGGGUGUUCUAUGUCAACUCACACUCCAGGAGUCCGGCCCAGGACUUGUGACGCCUUCGCAGUCCCUCUCUCUGACCUGCGUUGUCUCCGGGGGCUCUGUCACCAGCAGUUACUACUGGAGCUGGAUCCGCCAGCGCCCUGGGAGAGGGUUGGAGUGGAUGGGGUACUGGUCGGGUAGCACCAGCUACAACCCGGCUUUCCAGGGCCGCAUCACCAUCACUGCUGACACAUCCAACAACCAGUUCUCCCUGCAGCUGAGCUCCAUGACCACCGAGGACACGGCUGUGUAUUACUGUGCCGAAGCACAGUGAGGGAGAGUCACUGUGAGCUCAGACACAAACCUGGCGCAGGGACCUGG